UAGUCCACGCCGUAAACGAUGGUCACUAGCUGUUCGGACUUCGGUCUGAGUGGCUAAGCGAAAGUGAUAAGUGACCCACCUGGGGAGUACGUUCGCAAGAAUGAAACUCAAAGGAAUUGACGGGGGCCCGCACAAGCGGUGGAGCAUGUGGUUUAAUUCGAUGAUACGCGAGGAACCUUACCAGGGCUUAAAUGUAGUAUGACAGGUUUAGAGAUAGACUUUUCUUCGGACAUAUUACAAGGUGCUGCAUGGUUGUCGUCAGCUCGUGCCGUGAGGUGUCAGGUUAAGUCCUAUAACGAGCGCAACCCCUACCGUUAGUUGCCAGCAUGUUAUGAUGGGGACUCUAGCGGGACUGCCGGUACAAACCGAGAGGAAGGUGGGGAUGACGUCAAAUCAUCACGGGCCCUUACGUCCUGGGGCUACACACGUGCUACAAUGGUCGGUACAGAGGGGCAGCUACCCAGUGAUGGGGAU
RNAcentral lists this ribosomal RNA (474 nucleotides) under uncultured bacterium. RNAcentral describes it as "bacterial SSU rRNA". It matches the Rfam family "Bacterial small subunit ribosomal RNA", at positions 791 to 1267 of the family's 1533-position model. The record is from RNAcentral.